RNAcentral lists this ribosomal RNA (657 nucleotides) under Clostridioides difficile. RNAcentral's name for it is "bacterial LSU rRNA". It matches the Rfam family "Bacterial large subunit ribosomal RNA", at positions 662 to 1327 of the family's 2925-position model. The record is from RNAcentral. Lineage: Bacteria; Bacillati; Bacillota; Clostridia; Peptostreptococcales; Peptostreptococcaceae.
GGAGCCGUAGCGAAAGCGAGUUUUAACUGAGCGUUCAGUUACUUGACGUAGACCCGAAACCGGGCGACCUACCCAUGAGCAGGCUGAAGCGAAAGUAAAAUUUCGUGGAGGUCCGAACCCACGAGCGUUGAAAAGCUCGGGGAUGACUUGUGGGUAGCGGUGAAAUUCCAAUCGAGCCCGGAGAUAGCUGGUUCUCCCCGAAAUAGCUUUAGGGCUAGCCUCAAGGUGAGAGAUACGGAGGUAGAGCACUGAAUGUCCUAGGGGGUAUUGCACCUACCGAAGACUAUCAAACUCCGAAUGCCGUCAUCUUAUACUUGGGAGUCAGACUGUGGGUGAUAAGAUUCAUAGUCGAAAGGGCAACAGCCCAGAUCGUCAGCUAAGGUCCCUAAAUGUAAGUUAAGUGGUAAAGGAUGUGGGAUUGCACAGACAACCAGGAUGUUGGCUUAGAAGCAGCCACUCAUUCAAAGAGUGCGUAAUAGCUCACUGGUCGAGUGAUCCUGCGCCGAAGAUUUCCGGGGCUAAAACUUACUACCGAAGCUACGGCAUCAGUAAUGAUGGGUAGGGGAGCUUCCCAUACGGGUUGAAGCAUGACCGUAAGGACAUGUGGACAGUAUGGGAGUGAGAAUGUUGGCAUGAGUAGCGAGAUGUGGGUGAGAA